CCCUACUGCUAUCGGGGUGGGACUAAGACAUGCGAGUCGAGCGUCUCCAGCUAUGGUGAGACGCGGCAGACGGCUCAGUAACACGUGGCUAACCUACCCUCAGGACGGGGACAAACCCGGGAAACUGGGGCUAAUACCCGAUAGGCGAGGGCGCCUGGAAUGGUUCUUCACCCAAAGGGCUUUGGAAGCAUGCUUUUCAAAGUCGCCUGGGGAUGGGGCCGCGUCCGAUCAGGUUGUUGGUGAGGUAACGGCUCACCAAGCCUAUAACCGGUACGGGCCGUGAGAGCGGUAGCCCGGAGAUGGGCACUGAGACAAGGGCCCAGGCCCCACGGGGCGCAGCAGUCGCGAAAACUCCGCAAUGCACGAAAGUGUGACGGGGCUACCCCGAGUGCCGUCCGCUGAGGAUGGCUUUUCCUCGGUGUAACUAGCCGGGGGAAUAAGGAGAGGGCAAGACUGGUGUCAGCCGCCGCGGUAAUACCAGCUCUCCGAGUGGUAGGGAUGAUUAUUGGGCUUAAAGCGUCCGUAGCCGGCUUAGCAAGUCUCCUGUUAAAUUCAGCGACCUAAUCGUUGAGCCGCGGGAGAUACUACUAGGCUAGGAGGCGGGAGAGGUCGACGGUAUUUCCGGGGUAGGGGUGAAAUCCUAUAAUCCCGGGAGGACCACCAGUGGCGAAGGCUGUCGACUAGAACGCGCUCGACGGUGAGGGACGAAAGCUGGGGGAGCGAACCGGAUUAGAUACCCGGGUAGUCCCAGCCGUAAACGAUGCGGGCUAGGUGUUGGGGUGGCUACGUGCCACUUCAGUGCCGCAGGGAAGCCAUUAAGCCCGCCGCCUGGGGAGUACGGGCCGCAAGGCUGAAACUUAA
Molecule: ribosomal RNA, 861 nt
Filed under: uncultured archaeon
Lineage: Archaea
Description: bacterial SSU rRNA
Rfam family: Archaeal small subunit ribosomal RNA
Source: RNAcentral